RNAcentral lists this ribosomal RNA (111 nucleotides) under Caerostris darwini. Lineage: Eukaryota; Metazoa; Arthropoda; Arachnida; Araneae; Araneidae. The record is from RNAcentral.
AACGGCCGUACCAUGCUGAAUAUACCGGUUCUCGUUAGAUCACCGAAGUCAAGCAUCAUUGGGCGCGGUCAGUACUUGGGUGGGUGACCACCUGGGAACACUGCGUGGCGU